CACUCCUGCGGGAGGCAGCAGUAGGGAAUCUUCCACAAUGGGUGCAAACCUGAUGGAGCAAUGCCGCGUGAGUGAAGAAGGUCUUCGGAUCGUAAAGCUCUGUUGUUAGAGAAGAACACGUGCUAGGUAACUACUAGCGCCUUGACGGUAUCUAACCAGAAAGUCACGGCUAACUACGUGCCAGCAGCCGCGGUAAUACGUAGGUGACAAGCGUUGUCCGGAUUUAUUGGGCGUAAAGGGAGCGCAGGCGGUCUGUUUAGUCUAAUGUGAAAGCCCACGGCUUAACCGUGGAACGGCAUUGGAAACUGACAGACUUGAAUGUAGAAGAGGAAAAUGGAAUUCCAAGUGUAGCGGUGGAAUGCGUAGAUAUUUGGAGGAACACCAGUGGCGAAGGCGAUUUUCUGGUCUAACAUUGACGCUGAGGCUCGAAAGCGUGGGGAGCGAACAGGAUUAGAAACCCCUGUAGUCCCA
Molecule: ribosomal RNA, 471 nt
Filed under: uncultured organism
Description: partial 16S ribosomal RNA
Rfam family: Bacterial small subunit ribosomal RNA
Source: RNAcentral